UGGGUAACACUAACUGGAGGACCGAACCGACUAAUGUUGAAAAAUUAGCGGAUGACCUGUGGCUGGGGGUGAAAGGCCAAUCAAACCGGGAGAUAGCUGGUUCUCCCCGAAAGCUAUUUAGGUAGCGCCUCGUGAAUUCAUCUCCGGGGGUAGAGCACUGUUUCGGCUAGGGGGCCAUCCCGGCUUACCAACCCGAUGCAAACUGCGAAUACCGGAGAAUGUUAUCACGGGAGACACACGGCGGGUGCUAACGUCCGUCGUGAAGAGGGAAACAACCCAGACCGCCAGCUAAGGUCCCAAAGUCAUGGUUAAGUGGGAAACGAUGUGGGAAGGCCCAGACAGCCAGGAUGUUGGCUUAGAAGCAGCCAUCAUUUAAAGAAAGCGUAAUAGCUCACUGGUCGAGUCGGCCUGCGCGGAAGAUGUAACGGGGCUAAACCAUGCACCGAAGCUGCGGCAGCGACACUGUGUGUUGUUGGGUAGGGGAGCGUUCUGUAAGCCUGUGAAGGUGUGUCGUGAGGC
Molecule: ribosomal RNA, 519 nt
Filed under: Salmonella enterica
Lineage: Bacteria; Pseudomonadati; Pseudomonadota; Gammaproteobacteria; Enterobacterales; Enterobacteriaceae
Also listed under: 1 other name
Description: partial 23S ribosomal RNA
Rfam family: Bacterial large subunit ribosomal RNA
Source: RNAcentral